CCAACAGGGAUUGCCCCAGUAACGGCGAGUGAAGCGGCAACAGCUCAAAUUUGAAAUCUGGCCCUCUGGGUCCGAGUUGUAAUUUGUAGAGGAUGCUUUUGGUACGGUGCCUUCCGAGUUCCCUGGAACGGGACGCCAUAGAGGGUGAGAGCCCCGUCUGGUCGGAUACCACGCCUCUGUAAAGCUCCUUCGACGAGUCGAGUAGUUUGGGAAUGCUGCUCAAAAUGGGAGGUAUAUGUCUUCUAAAGCUAAAUAUUGGCCAGAGACCGAUAGCGCACAAGUAGAGUGAUCGAAAGAUGAAAAGCACUUUGAAAAGAGGGUUAAAUAGUACGUGAAAUUGUUGAAAGGGAAGCACUUAUGACCAGACUUGGGCCCGGUGAAUCAUCCAGCGUUCUCGCUGGUGCACUUCGCCGGCCCAGGCCAGCAUCAGUUCGCCGCGGGGGAAAAAGGCUUCGGGAACGUAGCUCCCUCGGGAGUGUUAUAGACCGUUGCAUAAUACCCUGUGGUGGACUGAGGUUCGCGCUCCGCAAGGAUGCUGGCGUAAUGGUCAUCAGUGACCCGUCUUGAAACACGGACCAAGGAGUCGUCUUCGUAUGCGAGUGUUCGGGUGUCAAACCCCUACGCGUAAUGAAAGUGAACGCAGGUGAGAGCUUCGGCGCAUCAUCGACCGAUCCUGAUGUUCUCGGAUGGAUUUGAGUAAGAGCAUACGGGGCCGGACCCGAAAGAAGGUGAACUAUGCCUGUAUAGGGUGAAGCCAGAGGAAACUCUGGUGGAGGCUCGCAGCGGUUCUGACGUGCAAAUCGAUCGUCAAAUAUGGGCAUGGGGGCGAAAGACUAAUCGAACCUUCUAGUAGCUGGUUUCCGCCGA
This 867-nucleotide ribosomal RNA is filed under the name Verticillium cylindrosporum. RNAcentral's name for it is "LSU rRNA". It matches the Rfam family "Eukaryotic large subunit ribosomal RNA", at positions 65 to 964 of the family's 3401-position model. Lineage: Eukaryota; Fungi; Ascomycota; Sordariomycetes; Glomerellales; Plectosphaerellaceae. The record is from RNAcentral.